RNAcentral lists this ribosomal RNA (354 nucleotides) under uncultured Syntrophomonas sp. RNAcentral's name for it is "bacterial SSU rRNA". It matches the Rfam family "Bacterial small subunit ribosomal RNA", at positions 1028 to 1382 of the family's 1533-position model. Lineage: Bacteria; Bacillati; Bacillota; Clostridia; Eubacteriales; Syntrophomonadaceae. The record is from RNAcentral.
UACAAGACAGGUGGUGCAUGGUUGUCGUCAGCUCGUGUCGUGAGAUGUUGGGUUAGUCCGCAACGAGCGCAACCCUUGCUAUUUAGUUGCUAACAGGUAGAGCUGAGCACUCUAAUGGGACUGCCCGUGACAAGCGGGAGGAAGGUGGGGAUGACGUCAAAUCAUCAUGCCCUUUAUGAUCUGGGCUACACACGUGCUACAAUGGAUGGUACAGAGAGCAGCGAGGCCGCGAGGUGGAGCGAAUCUCAAAAAGCCAUUCUCAGUUCGGAUUGCAGUCUGCAACUCGACUGCAUGAAGUCGGAAUCGCUAGUAAUCGCGGAUCAGCAUGCCGCGGUGAAUACGUUCCCGGGCCUU